Molecule: ribosomal RNA, 501 nt
Filed under: uncultured bacterium
Lineage: Bacteria
Description: partial 16S ribosomal RNA
Rfam family: Bacterial small subunit ribosomal RNA
Source: RNAcentral
AUUGAACGCUGGCGGCAGGCUUAACACAUGCAAGUCGAGCGGGGGAAGGUAGCUUGCUACUGGACCUAGCGGCGGACGGGUGAGUAAUGCUUAGGAAUCUGCCUAUUAGUGGGGGACAACAUCUCGAAAGGGAUGCUAAUACCGCAUACGUCCUACGGGAGAAAGCAGGGGAUCUUCUGACCUUGCGCUAAUAGAUGAGCCUAGGUCGGAUUAGCGAGUUGGUGGGGUAAAGGCCUACCAAGGCGACGAUCUGUAGCGGGUCUGAGAGGAUGAUCCGCCACACUGGGACUGAGACACGGCCCAGACUCCUACGGGAGGCAGCAGUGGGGAAUAUUGGACAAUGGGGGGAACCCUGAUCCAGCCAUGCCGCGUGUGUGAAGAAGGCCUUAUGGUUGUAAAGCACUUUAAGCGAGGAGGAGGCUACUCUAGUUAAUACCUAGGGAUAGUGGACGUUACUCGCAGAAUAAGCACCGGCUAACUCUGUGCCAGCAGCCGCCGUAA